Molecule: ribosomal RNA, 116 nt
Filed under: Spirodela intermedia
Lineage: Eukaryota; Viridiplantae; Streptophyta; Magnoliopsida; Alismatales; Araceae
Description: 5
Source: RNAcentral
CCCCCCAAAGUGGGAGAGUUGCCACCGGAUCCCAUAAGAACUCCGGAGUUAAGCGUGCUCGGGUGGGAGCAGUCACCGGAUGGUGACCUCCCUGGGAAGUCCCAAGGUACAUGUGC